UUGACCUCAAAUCAGGUAGGACUACCCGCUGAACUUAAGCAUAUCAAUAAGCGGAGGAAAAGAAACUAACAAGGAUUCCCCUAGUAACUGCGAGUGAAGCGGGAAAAGCUCAAAUUUAAAAUCUGGUAGUCUUCGGCUGCCCGAGUUGUAAUCUAGAGAAGCAUUAUCUGCGCUGGACCGUGUACAAGUGUCCUGGAAUGGACCAUCAUAGAGGGUGAGAAUCCCGUCUUUGACACGGACUCCCAGGGCUUUGUGAUGUGCUCUCAAAGAGUCGAGUUGUUUGGGAAUGCAGCUCUAAAUGGGUGGUAAAUUCCAUCUAAAGCUAAAUAUUGGCGAGAGACCGAUAGCGAACAAGUACCGUGAGGGAAAGAUGAAAAGAACUUUGGAAAGAGAGUUAAACAGUACGUGAAAUUGCUGAAAGGGAAACGCUUGAAGUCAGUCGCGUUGGCUGGGGAUCAACCUUGCUUUUUGCUUGGCUUACUUCCCAGUUGACGGGUCAGCAUCAGUUUUGACCGGUGGAUAAAGGCUAGGGGAAUGUGGCACCCUCGGGUGUGUUAUAGCCCUUGGUCAUAUGCAUUGGUUGGGACUGAGGACCU
RNAcentral lists this ribosomal RNA (596 nucleotides) under Termitomyces cylindricus. RNAcentral's name for it is "partial large subunit ribosomal RNA". It matches the Rfam family "Eukaryotic large subunit ribosomal RNA", at positions 1 to 595 of the family's 3401-position model. The record is from RNAcentral. Lineage: Eukaryota; Fungi; Basidiomycota; Agaricomycetes; Agaricales; Lyophyllaceae.